This 496-nucleotide ribosomal RNA is filed under the name uncultured bacterium. Its description in RNAcentral is "partial 16S ribosomal RNA". It matches the Rfam family "Bacterial small subunit ribosomal RNA", at positions 28 to 506 of the family's 1533-position model. The record is from RNAcentral.
GAUGAACGCUGGCGGCGUGCCUAAUACAUGCAAGUCGAGCGAACAGACGAGGAGCUUGCUCCUCUGACGUUAGCGGCGGACGGGUGAGUAACACGUGGAUAACCUACCUAUAAGACUGGGAUAACUUCGGGAAACCGGAGCUAAUACCGGAUAAUAUAUUGAACCGCAUGGUUCAAUAGUGAAAGACGGUUUUGCUGUCACUUAUAGAUGGAUCCGCGCCGCAUUAGCUAGUUGGUAAGGUAACGGCUUACCAAGGCAACGAUGCGUAGCCGACCUGAGAGGGUGAUCGGCCACGCUGGAACUGAGACACGGUCCAGACUCCUACGGGAGGCAGCAGUAGGGAAUCUUCCGCAAUGGGCGAAAGCUUGACGGAGCAACGCCGCGUGAGUGAUGAAGGUCUUCGGAUCGUAAAACUCUGUUAUUAGGGAAGAACAAAUGUGUAAGUAACUAUGCACGUCUUGACGGUACCUAAUCAGAAAGCCACGGCUAACUACGU